UGCGUUUGUAAUAAUCAGUAUCUAUAGCACUAAAUGCUAAAGAACUAGAAGUUUAACGUUUGAAGGCAACACGACACCCUUUGAUUAUUAGAUAGAAGCAUUAGUCCAUUUGGCAGCACAGAGUUACCAAAUAUGCAUCUCUUCUAGAAUGAACAUGCCAGCAUUUGAAUUUGGUAUCAAGAAAAGCUAGAUUUGGAAAAUACAUGUUAGUUCAAAUUAAGCACC
RNAcentral lists this long non-coding RNA (225 nucleotides) under Elaeis guineensis (African oil palm). RNAcentral describes it as "long non-coding RNA (EGUI_LNC078027)". The record is from RNAcentral. Lineage: Eukaryota; Viridiplantae; Streptophyta; Magnoliopsida; Arecales; Arecaceae.